Mus caroli (Ryukyu mouse) is the source of this 1046-nucleotide non-coding RNA. The record is from RefSeq and is a predicted model, not a curated record. Lineage: Eukaryota; Metazoa; Chordata; Mammalia; Rodentia; Muridae.
GCAGGGUCUGCAGCUGCGCAGAGAAUGAAAUGGAGGGUCCAACACAGACAAGGCCAACCACUUCACCGGAUGAAAGCCUUUUCAGAGGCAGAAUAUGACAGAAUUGAAUUACUACAGAGGAAGAUAUGAAGAGCUACAGCUAGCAAGUAUGGGCCAUUCUGUCAGGUAUUUCUGCAGAAGCCACACAUAAGUUCACCUAACAGAUUUACUACAACAUUUAGUAAGAAUGGUAAAGUAUGCCAUCUUUAUUUCAAUUUUCUUCUUUUGGAUUGUACUUUUUUGUGCAUGUUCAUGUGUGUGUAUGUGUGUUUUCAUUGUAUGUGCAACACAUGUGCAAAUGCAUGUGCAACAUGUGUUUAUACAUUUAUGACCAUUGGAAACCAUAGAUGAAUUGAUCAUGUUGUUUUUCAAGAGACAGCUUCCAUGUUUUUCUUUAAAAUUCAAUUGUUUUGUACAUAUAGUUAUUUUGUCUAUAUUUUUUUUCUGUGCAACACCUCUAUUCCUGGUACCUGCUAUGGCCAGAAGAUGACAUUGGAUCGCUGAGAAGUGGAGUCAUUUUUGGUUGUGAGUUACUAUGUGAAUGCUGGCAAUAGAAUCCAAGUCCUUUAGAAGAGCAGCAGUUAACUUAAACCAUAUCACUAGAUAGAGUCACCUUGGCUUUGUUGUUAUUGUUGUGUUUUUUUUUUUUUCUUGUUGUUUAAAACAGAGAUUCUCUCACAGGAACUCGAUAUUCACAGAUUUUGCAGACUAAAUUGGCAAUGGAGCUCCAGUGACAUGGCUGUCUUGACUUUCCAAUGGUAACUGGCUCUGAAGAACAGGCUGACUUCAAACUCCUUGAUCUGCCUGCUUGUCUCCCAAGUGCUAGGACUGAAGAUGUGUAACACCAUCGGCCCAUGGUUGUGAUGAAACAAUAAGAAUCUGAUUAAGAAUGGAUUACUUGGAUAAGAUUUGGGAGGUGGCACUGUCUAUGUGCUGAGUUUUACACUCUAAAUGGUACUGCCACCACUGAAGUGUACUAAGUCAGCUGGGCUAAACUUUCAAGGCUU